This 797-nucleotide long non-coding RNA is filed under the name Homo sapiens (human). Its description in RNAcentral is "HSALNT0040178". The record is from RNAcentral. Lineage: Eukaryota; Metazoa; Chordata; Mammalia; Primates; Hominidae.
CAGCCUCUAUCCCAGACCAACUAAAUUAGAAUCAGCAUUUUAAGAAGAAUUGCGGAUGUUCAUUGCCACGCUCACCUUUGAGAUGUGCUGGACUUACAGAACCAACUGAGGAACCAGAGGAAAGAAUAAUGAUACCAGUUCCUUUGCAGGAAGGGAUCUUUGAAAUGACGUAGUUCAACUCUUUCAAUUUGUAGUUGAAGAAAUUAGUGGUCAACAAGGUAAAGUAAGUUGGUCAAGGUCAACUCAGAUCUUCUCAUUCCAAUCCAGCAACAACAAUAAUAACAGCAGCAACAAAAUAAAGUAAGACCCCUCUCCCCAUUUCUGGUGAUAUUUCCAGUGCACCACAAAGGCAUUUAAAUCCUACUCUCAUUUCAAUCACAAGCAAAGCAGACAAGAAAAAGGAAAAGGGUGACUCUUCAAGAAACGAGGAGGACUCCUUUAAAUGAGGAAUUGACAUUUUGGAGUACCCGGAUUAAAUUCAGAGACUGAAUCAAUCUAAAGACGAAAGCCGGACUCUAGAGCUUGGAUGUUGAUACCAUUGAAACGGUAGGGGCAGAAAAGGUGUGAUACUUUCCUCCCCAUCAUAAGGGGCACGGCAAACAUGCUUAUAACAAAAGAUAGGCUAAUAAGAGAAAAGCGUAACAAAUUUAUUGAAUCAAAGUUUUAUGUGAUACAGGAGCCUUCAGAAAUGAAGAUGCAAAGACUCAGGGAAAACUGCCUGUUUUUAUGCUUAGAUUCAGUGAAGAAUGGACAGCCUUAUAGAAAUGUGAUUGGACAAAGGGUGUGAUCUAAUGGUA